RNAcentral lists this ribosomal RNA (925 nucleotides) under uncultured bacterium. RNAcentral's name for it is "bacterial SSU rRNA". It matches the Rfam family "Bacterial small subunit ribosomal RNA", at positions 1 to 924 of the family's 1533-position model. The record is from RNAcentral.
GCCCUUAGAGUUUGAUCCUGGCUCAGAUUGAACGCUGGCGGCAUGCCUAACACAUGCAAGUCGAACGGUAACAGGUCUUCGGAUGCUGACGAGUGGCGGACGGGUGAGUAAUGCGUAGGAAUCUGUCUUUUAGUGGGGGACAACCCAGGGAAACUUGGGCUAAUACCGCAUGAGCCCUGAGGGGGAAAGCGGGGGAUCUUCGGACCUCGCGCUAAGGGAGGAGCCUACGUCUGAUUAGCUAGUUGGUAGAGUAAAGGCCUACCAAGGCGACGAUCAGUAGCUGGUCUGAGAGGACGACCAGCCACACUGGGACUGAGACACGGCCCAGACUCCUACGGGAGGCAGCAGUGGGGAAUUUUUCGCAAUGGGGGCAACCCUGACGAAGCAAUGCCGCGUGGAUGAAGAAGGCCUUCGGGUUGUAAAGUCCUUUCGUGGAGGACGAAAAGGCGGGUUCUAAUACAAUCUGCUGUUGACGUGAAUCCAAGAAGAAGCACCGGCUAACUCCGUGCCAGCAGCCGCGGUAAUACGGGGGGUGCAAGCGUUAAUCGGAAUCACUGGGCGUAAAGGGUGCGUAGGCGGUACGUUAGGUCUGUCGUGGAAUCCCCGGGCUCAACCUGGGAAUGGCGGUGGAAACCGGCGGACUAGAGUAUGGGAGAGGGUGGUGGAAUUCCAGGUGUAGCGGUGAAAUGCGUAGAGAUCUGGAGGAACAUCAGUGGCGAAGGCGGCCACCUGGCCCAAUACUGACGCUGAGGCACGAAAGCGUGGGGAGCAAACAGGAUUAGAUACCCUGGUAGUCCACGCCCUAAACGAUGAAUACUAGAUGUUUGGUGCCACGCGUACUGAGUGUCGUAGCUAACGCGAUAAGUAUUCCGCCUGGGAAGUACGGCCGCAAGGUUAAAACUCAAAUGAAUUGACGGGGAAGGGC